CUACGAGGACGAACGCUGGCGGCGUGCCUAACACAUGCAAGUCGAACGGAGAUAUGAUUUCGGUUGUAUCUUAGUGGCGAACGGGUGAGUAACGCGUGAACAACCUGACUCUAAGAGGGGGAUAACACUCGGAAACGGGUGCUAAUACCGCAUAAGACCACGACCUGGCAUCAGGAUGGGGUCAAAGGAGCAAUCCGCUGAGAGAGGGGUUCGCGUCCCAUUAGAUAGAUGGCGGGGUAACGGCCCACCAUGUCAACGAUGGGUAGCCGAGCUGAGAGGCUGAUCGGCCACACUGGAACUGAGACACGGUCCAGACUCCUACGGGAGGCAGCAGUGGGGAAUAUUGGGCAAUGGGCGCAAGCCUGACCCAGCAACGCCGCGUGAGGGAAGAAGGCUUUCGGGUUGUAAACCUCUGUCCUUGGUGACGAAACAAAUGACGGUAGCCAAGGAGGAAGCCCCGGCUAACUACGUG
Molecule: ribosomal RNA, 472 nt
Filed under: uncultured bacterium
Lineage: Bacteria
Description: bacterial SSU rRNA
Rfam family: Bacterial small subunit ribosomal RNA
Source: RNAcentral